UUACGGAAGGCAGCAGUAGGGAAUUUUCCGCAAUGGGCGAAAGCCUGACGGAGCAACGCCGCGUGAGGGAUGAAGGUUUUCGGAUCGUAAACCUCUGUCUUCAGGGACGAUAAUGACGGUACCUGAGGAGGAAGCCACGGCUAACUACGUGCCAGCAGCCGCGGUAAUACGUAGGUGGCAAGCGUUGUCCGGAAUUACUGGGCGUAAAGGGCGUGUAGGCGGCUUUUUAAGUCAGGCGUGAAAUCUCUGGGCUUAACCCAGAAAUUGCGUUUGAAACUGGAAGGCUUGAGGACCGGAGAGGGUAGUGGAAUUCCCAGUGUAGCGGUGAAAUGCGUAGAUAUUGGGAGGAACACCAGUGGCGAAGGCGACUGCCUGGACGGCACCUGACGCUGAGGCGCGAAAGCUAGGGGAGCAAACGGGAUUAGAAACCCUAGUAGUCCG
RNAcentral lists this ribosomal RNA (441 nucleotides) under uncultured bacterium. RNAcentral's name for it is "bacterial SSU rRNA". It matches the Rfam family "Bacterial small subunit ribosomal RNA", at positions 339 to 797 of the family's 1533-position model. The record is from RNAcentral.